CUUUUUUUUUUUUUUUUUUUUUGCGGUAUGCGGGCCUCUCACUGUUGUGGCCUCUCCCGUUGCGGAGCACAGGCUCUGGACGCGCAGGCUCAGCGGUCAUGGCUCACGGGCCCAGGCAUUCCGCGGCAUGUGGGAUCUUCCCGGACCGGGGCACGAACCCACGUCCCCUGCAUCGGCAGGCGGACUCUCAACCACUGCGCCACCAGGGAAGCCCUGCUUUUUUCAUUCUUAUGUAUUAACAUGCUCUAUAAUAGAAUUUAGGUGCAGAUAACAGGCACUGAUCCAUUUUAAGAGAAUGAGAAUUAAUACAGGGAACUGGGUGCUUACAAAAUUGUUGGAUGAACUGAAGUAAUGGUUCUGGGCUUAGAAUCCAGGAACAACUUCAAGAAUCACCCCACUGAACUGGUUCUCCAGGGGAGCUGCUAACCACUUAAUUCCCCACCUUCCUGGUUGUAGCAAUCGCCACUGAAGUCGUUCACUCCAAGAAUAUGUUAGCUUAUGUACUCUUCAGAGAUCAGGAAGCCAUUGCUGCAACUUCUCAGCUUUGAAACCAUGUCACAUCUGCUCGGUGCAUUCUAACUCAUUUGAGCCCUGCCUCUUGGCUCUUACCAUGCUGGUGACCAGAGCAUGGGUACCUCUGCUACCUCGGCCAUGGGACAAUGCAACUCUUCUGCAGCCACCUUUGCCAACAGAAGCAGCACAAGUUGCAAACAGCCCAUUCUCUCUAUCACUUCCAAUUUCCAGAUCUCAAGUCAGCAAUCUGAUUGCCUGAAUCAAAUCAUAUCCAGAACUCUAGCUGCAAAGGUGUUGGGGUUAGUGUUUAGGUUUUCCCAUUUUUGCAGUAGGAAGGCAUAUUGGAAGGAGGUUGCAAUGGAUAUUGAUUUCCAGGCCAGGUUAUUCAUCAUAAGCCCUAACAGUAAAGAGACCUGGAUCUAACCCUGAUUCAGUCACUUAUUUGCUAUGUGAAGUUAGAAAAGCAUCAUUGCCUUUCUGGGUCUCAGUCUCCAUGACCAAGUUAGAGUGGUUGAUAUCCAAUUUUCUUUCGGAUUCUAAAAUUCUGUGGCUCUAUUAUAAAUUAUUAUACAUUAUAAAUAUUUAAAAUAUUUUCUUAAAUAGGCUCAUUUUGAAAAGAAUUUUCUGUACUUCUUUUUUACAAAGAUUUUAUUUUCCUCAUGAAUACUUGUAAUAAAAUAGGAAGUUCUCUAAGAUGAUUGGAGGGCCCAAGUGAUUUUUACCUCUCAGUAUUUUCACCCUCCCACAUUGAGUAGGGUUGGCCCAUGUAACAGGAUAUUGUGGAAUUAACAGUGUGUAACCCAGGGUUAGAUCAUAAAAGUUGCAUCUUCCACCUUGCUCUCUCUUGGAUGACUCACUCUAGGGGAAGCCAGCUGUUAUGUCAUGAGGACACAUAACCAGAACUGUGAGGAGAUCAGGUGUUGAGGACUGAGGCCUCCUGACUACAGCCAGCAUCAAUUUGCCAGCCAUAUGAGUAGUCCCCCUGGGAAAGUGAAUGUCUCAGCCCCAGUCGAGCCUUCAGAUGACUGUAACCCUGGCUGACAUGUUGACUGAAACCUCAUGCAAAACUUUGAGCCAGAGCUACCCAUUUAAGCCACUCUCAAAUGCCUAACCCACAGAAACUGUGUGAGAUAAUAAAUAUUUAAUGCCAUUUGAAGCCACUAAGUUCUGGAGUUAACUGUUAUGCAGCAACAGAAAACUAAUAUAUUCCCCAAUCAGUAUGCAAAAUAGCAUAAGAAUUACUGAAUUUAUUUCUUAAUUUUCAACAUCAAAUUUCAUUUUCUUCUCCUUUUCUCACAUAAAGCUGGUAGCCUUUGAGAUUAUAUCCCUAGGACACAGAAGCCAUUGGGUGUGUAAAUCAGGAUUAAAACUAAGUAAUUUUUUUCUGAAAUUUUAUAAAAUGUAGUAAUGGGUAGACAGGAAAAGAGCUUAUUGUUAAUACACUAAGUAGCAAAUAUUUUCUCAGGCAAAAUGCCAGGCACUUGAAACUUAUCACAGGACUAAUAUAUUCUUUGGAAAAUAAAGCUAAUGAAAACAUAAUAGUUAAAAUGACUCUUUCACAGCCAUCCCAGUCAGCUCUGCAAAAUGGCUUUUAAUUAAUGAAGGAACUAUGCUGUGUCUAUCAGUUAACAAACACUCCAAUAUGAUAAAGAAAGAUAAGAGUUGCCUGUUACUGAAAUAUUUUUUUGUUUUAAACUAAAAGGAAUUAAUCUAAUUUCUUGCUGUUUAUAAUGGCUUAAAGUUUCAUUGAACAAAGAAUGUUCCAACAAAACUUACUCUAUACUUUUUUUUUUUUUUUUUUUUUUUUUUUUGCGGUACGCGGGCCUCUCACUGUUGUGGCCUCUCCCGUUGCGGAGCACAGGCUCCGGACGCGCAGGCUCAGCGGCCAUGGCUCACGGGCCCAGCCGCUCCGCGGCAUGUGGGAUCUUCACGGACCGGGGCACGAACCCGUGUCCCCUGCAUCGGCAGGCGGACUCUCAACCACUGCGCCACCAGGGAAGCCCAAAACUUACUCUAUACUUUUUUCACUGAGUUUAUUUUUAAUUAAGGCUCCCUUCUGAAUUGUGCACCCAUGUCUGGUAUCAGAGACCAAAGAAUGGAAGCAAGAAGCAAGGACAUAGAGAAGUAAACCUAGAAUUGGGAAGCGCUUCAGAUUUCAUCUUUCAAGAGAGAGAAGUAACAAACCUGCACCCAGAGAAGGAAGUGGAGGAUGUUUUGGUGGUGAUGAGGUUAUGUUCUUAGGCUCCCUAGAAUCCUUGCUGCUCCCUGGAAAUGCUGUCCUUUCAUGCCACAUGUCUUCCUCAUGCUGUGUCUGAGCCUGGAAGGUCUGUCUCCUUGUCCACACAGCAAACUCAUGGUCUCCCUUCAGAGACAGAUCUCCUCUUCUGUUCCCUGACACAUCUAUCCUGGGUAACCUGCAUUGACUAACAGCUGUAACAGAGGUACGUAGGCAUUGUUGCUGUCUUGUGCAGGAACACUGUCUAGUGCACUCUGGAAUCCCUAAUGCCUAGCACAGGGACUGACACGGUCAUUUGCUGGAGGAAGGAAUCUCUGGCCCGUAUUAGACUGGACCAGGGCCAUUCACCGUUCAUCUCUGUAUUUCAGAAAAAUACAGAGUGGCCCAGAGUGCACUGAAUACAUGUUUAAUGACUAGACUUGAGGUAAAUGGUAUGGGAAACUAUUAUUCUUAGCUUGUAAGAUUCUUAGUUUGACACAUAGCCGUCUAAAACUUUUCUCCACUUUACACGUAGUUGUGGCCAAAUGACCAAGUUCUGGCCAAUGAAAUGUGAGCAGAAGUGUCAUGUGGCAGCUUCUAGGAACUUUCAUCAAGAGAAGGAUGACAUAUGCCCUUUGACUCUUCUUUCGGUCCUGUCUCCCAUCGUCCUGUCUGGAACAUGGAUGCCUCUAGUCAUGCAGCGUCAAAAUCCCAGUGCGGUAUCCUGGGGCUAGUGAUGGCAGGACACUAUUGACACCCCCAGCCUGGGACAAAAGAAAUGAGUGGUCAUUGGCAUCUUGAAGAAGAGGGUUGUGUGGAGAGGGCCAUUCAUCAAGAGCCAUAUCAGGGAGAGCAUCAGUCAGCCUGCAGGGAGAUAGCUAAGGGAGUAAAUAUCUGACCUCACUUUCCUCCAUCCUCAAGUCAAUGUUCCCCAUAAACUGAACCAAGUGGAAAUUUUAAGGCAAGGGAACCCAUUGAUGUGGGGACUCCAAGGGCACAGCAGGAGGAAGAGGGUGGAGAGAGGAUUUGUCUGGGUAAACAGAAGAUAUUCAGCACACUUGGGUAGACUUGUUUUCUCAUUUUAUUUAUUUAUUUAUUUAUAAAAUAAUAUUUGGAAUUUAUUUAUUUAUUUUUGGCUGCAUUGGGUCUUCUUUGCUGUGCACAGGCUUUCUCUAGUUGCAGCGAGUGGGGGCUACUCUUUGUUAUGGUGCACGGGCUUCUUAUUGCGGUGGCUUCUCUUGUUGUGGAGCACGGGCUCUAGGCGCGUGGGCUUCAGUAGUUGUGGCACAA
This is a long non-coding RNA of Orcinus orca (killer whale), 4018 nucleotides long. RefSeq lists it as uncharacterized. The record is from RefSeq and is a predicted model, not a curated record. The transcript is spliced from 3 exons. NCBI's taxonomy places the organism in Eukaryota, Metazoa, Chordata, Mammalia, Artiodactyla, Delphinidae.